UUUUUUUUUUUUUUUUUAACUUAUUUAUGAAAGGGGAAGGGGCAGAGGGAGUAGCAGUCUCCCCACUGAGCAGGGAGCCUGAUCCAUGGGAUUGAUCCUGGGACCCCUGAGAUCAUGAGUGAGCCAAAGGCAGGCAGACUCUUUUUUUCUUUUUUUUUUAAGAUUUUUUUAUUUAUUAGAGACACACAGAGAGGCAGAGACACAGGCAGAGGGAGAAGCAGGUUCCAUGCAGGGAGCCUGAUGCGGAACUCGAUCCCAGGAGCCCAGGACCAGGCCGAAGGCAGACGCUCAACCUCUGAACCACCCAGGUAUCACAAUGCUGGCAGACUCUUAACCAACUGAGCCACUCAGGUGCCCCCUCCCGUUACAACAUCUUGAAGGGAGUCUUCCUUACCAUCUUAACAGGUGUCAGAAUAAUUUUUUCUUUAACAUUAUUUUGCACAACUUUUGGAUCCUUAAAAAACCUUAAUCUGGUUUUUAAACACUGGGAGAAAUGACUAUAAAAGUCAAGAAUAGUGGUUACUUAUGGGGAUGAGAAGCUGAGAUAGAGACCCAACUCAUGCAGGGAUUUUUGGGGGUUUAGGAGGCAAGAGAGUUUUGUUUUUUGAACUGGAGGGCAGUUACAAGGGUUUUAUCCAUAAUAUAAAUCAUUAUUUUUUUGUGUCACUUUCUGUAUCUUUUUAAAAUAAGUUAAAAACUUAUAUUUUACUUUUAAAAAGUGUUUCAGAAAAACCUUUUCUAUUGUGUAACAAAAUAGCUAAAGUUCCAUUUGUUCACUCCUUUCUCUUUUCCCACUGGGCAUUUCCUUGAGAAACUGAGAAAUAAUCACUGGCUUUCCCUUCUCAAGUUCUUCUCAUGCCUAAAGCACCAACUGCUUCUCAUUGUAUCAUGGAGUCCUUUUCAAAUUCUGCAACCCUGGUCCAAUACUGAGAGCAAGGCCUUUGGAAGUGGGCCCCUUUGAAUUAAAAUUCCAGCUAUGCCUCUUAAUAUCUGUGUGACUGUGAGCAGGUUACUUACCUUCUCUCGACCCUUGUCCCUUCAUUGGUAAAAUAGGGAUAAUAAUAUCAGACUCAAUGGGUAAUUGGGGAAGUUAGCAGAGGUGAUGACUACAAGACAUUUGGCACCUAUAGAAUGUUAGGACAAUUGAUGAAGUCAGAAUUAGGCUUGUACGUUAAUUUCUUGAGUUUGAUAAGAGUACAAAAUCUGAAGAUUAAUUAAAUAAUAGUUUUAUAUAAAUCUAUUGAUUUUGAUACACUGUGGUUAUAUAAGAGUGUCUUUGUUUUUUGGAACCAAGAG
RNAcentral lists this long non-coding RNA (1296 nucleotides) under Canis lupus familiaris (dog). RNAcentral describes it as "lncRNA (ENSCAFG00000058573.1)". Lineage: Eukaryota; Metazoa; Chordata; Mammalia; Carnivora; Canidae. The record is from RNAcentral.